UUCAAGCCAUGAAGAAAAUCUGGUCCAAGAAACGCUUUCAGAAAACCGGACACUCUAACCGAACAUUUGGGCGGUUCACUCAUGUGAAGUUUUCCGCUCCUGUCGGAAGCAAAGUUAUG
Long non-coding RNA from Sinocyclocheilus anshuiensis, 119 nucleotides. RefSeq lists it as uncharacterized. The record is from RefSeq and is a predicted model, not a curated record. Lineage: Eukaryota; Metazoa; Chordata; Actinopteri; Cypriniformes; Cyprinidae. The transcript is spliced from 3 exons.